Molecule: long non-coding RNA, 318 nt
Organism: Sardina pilchardus (European sardine)
Lineage: Eukaryota; Metazoa; Chordata; Actinopteri; Clupeiformes; Clupeidae
Exons: 3
Source: RefSeq, a predicted model, not a curated record
UGGAGGAGCAGUUUUCAGCAGAUGAGCUUGGUGUGGGGAAACGUGCUGUGGUGCAGGCAUAAUCUUUAUGGAACAGGAGGCAACGCUAUUCAGAGAUAACCACCAAGGCAGAAUGUUGGCGUGUGGAAGUACCUCUACUCAGAGUGAUAGAGAAAACUAUGGCUCUGCUUUUACUGAAGGAAUGGCUACCGGAGCGGGCAGCUUUAUGAAUAUAAGGUGAAAAGGAUGUAUGGAGAAGUUUUGGGAGAGUCAGACAGUCCACGGAACUUGCAAUGACUUAGCAAUGAUCUAUGCCAGGUGAGUGGAUUGACAUACUGU